RNAcentral lists this long non-coding RNA (1467 nucleotides) under Bos taurus (domestic cattle). RNAcentral describes it as "long non-coding RNA NONBTAT018019". The record is from RNAcentral. Lineage: Eukaryota; Metazoa; Chordata; Mammalia; Artiodactyla; Bovidae.
GUGACAUGCACUCAGAAGGAGCCAGAUUCCUUAGUUGAGGGUGUGGUUGAAGGGGGGAGGCAGGCCCCCCAAUCCUAAUUGAGGGAUAUCAUCUCUCAGGCUUAAAUAAGUGCAUUUAGUUAUUGUAACCCCAGGCACUGGGGUACCUACUGAGGCUGUUGUUGGAGAGGGGAGAUUUUCAGGGCUUUUAUUUUUCCCUUUUUGAUUUCAGACAGUGCUACCCCCUCUACUCACCCUAGAUUCUCCAUCUCAGCCCUGAAGGAGCAAAUAGGUCUAUAGGACACGCCUCCAGGUUCCUUUUAAUUUAUGCUGGUUUGAUUGAGAGUUACAAGAUUUAACCAAACAUUUUUCCCUCACACUGGAUUCUACAGCAAAAUAAAAUGAUGAUAUUAAAAGGUUUUUUUUUUUUUUAAAAGAUUCAGUCUCUUCAUGGAGUGGUAUGGUGUUCAACUCAGUGCUCUGUGGGGCCUGGAGGGAAGUUCCUUCCCUCUGCUGUUGGCUGUUUCUUCUCAAGUGAAACUAAAGCUCACAGACCAACUAAACAAAAAUCAGCAAUGACUUUUUAGUGUAUGUUUGGGAGUGAUAAUGAACUGGAAAGGAUGGAGCUGGUUCUGAAUGACUUCUGAGAACCUAGCUUUUGCUAUUCUUACCACUCUCUAAACAGCCACAUGUCCAAAGUUCCAGUCACAUUUUAUCUUUCCCAAUAAAGGAGUUUCAAAGAUAAUUGUCCCCAAGUUACUCCGACACCUCUGGACUCUGCAUUGUCUUCUUUCUCCAAGGAGUCAGUGCCCCAGACCCACCACCACAGGUGAGAAGACAGAAUUAGUAGUCCUCGUCCUGGAAUCACCUGCACCACAGAUUUUUCUAAUUUCCUUUUCCCUCCAGGCCCUUCAACUACAGAUUCAGUGACUCAUACAGGCAGUCUGUUUCUUUCAUUUUAUAGAAAUCACGGGCUGUUUUGCCCCCUGAACUUAAGUGGAUUAACAGAAUAUUAUACCCUCCAUGGAGACUUUCUCCACAACCCCUCCUUUUACUGGCCACUUGGGUAAGAGGUGCUAGAAAAGAGGAAGGGAAGCUGGCUGCCAGGAGCGAAGAGAGGAGCGGGGGUGGGGAGAACCUUGGCCUCUUUCUGUGCUUAUAACUGGAUCUGUGAUUCAUCUUGUGAGUCACUCAGCUCCACCUCCUUCCUCUAGCAGCCCCUCCCAGCAGCCUUCACUCCUGGCACAAACCUGCAACCAGACCAGGAUUCUGAAAAUGGGAAAAUCUGAUACAGACCCUUGCCUCUCCACCCUUCCUUCCAUCCACUAAACCUCCGUUGGGGGUGGUCGGGGGCGGGGCGGGGGGGUGGUGUCCUCCUGUUACUCAACACUCAGCUGCUGUCCCCUUUGCAUUCCUGGUUAGGUGCUGAUCCAAGUCACCCAUCUUUUUUCUGGCUCUGACCUUCCCCAUCCCCCCUCAUGUUUUCUC